UACGGGGGGAGCAAGCGUUGUUCGGAUUUACUGGGCGUAAAGGGCGCGUAGGCGGUCAGCACAAGUCAGUUGUGAAAUCUCCGGGCUUAACUCGGAAAGGUCAACUGAUACUGUGCGACUAAAGUGCGGAAGGGGCAACUGGAAUUCUCGGUGUAGCGGUGAAAUGCGUAGAUAUCGAGAGGAACACCUGCGGCGAAGGCGGGUUGCUGGGCCGACACUGACGCUGAUGCGCGAAAGCCAGGGGAGCGAACGGG
Molecule: ribosomal RNA, 254 nt
Filed under: uncultured bacterium
Lineage: Bacteria
Description: partial 16S ribosomal RNA
Rfam family: Bacterial small subunit ribosomal RNA
Source: RNAcentral